AGUUUUAUUUUUCAGGAAGAAAACGCUGACGUUUCAUGCACUAGCUUGUAAAUUGUACCGGUCAUUUCUAUUCCUUCAUCCGAGAAGGAAGCUGCGAUCCAGAAAGCCAAGCCCAGGACCAUGGAGGGGAGGGCCAUUCAGGUUCCAGGAAUUCUUCGCCUUCAGGUUACUUUUUCGUCCUCUGUUACAUCUUAUUUUUCGUUUUUAUUCUUGCAUUCUCGUUCACUGAAAAUGGAAAAAGAACCCUCAAAAAAAAUGGAAAAAGAAAUUUGAUGUGAAAUUUGGUUAUUACGGAGCCUGUUGUAAAGUCAUUGAGAAGCAUGACAUGAUUGGGCAGCCUCACCGUCCAAAGUCAUUUAUCAUUGCACCAGUGGAAUCUCCGUUGCGGCUGCCACCGGCGUCACGCAUCCUUUAGGUUUUUCCCUUUUUUUCCAGCUUGAUCUUUGUAUCUUGUUCAUGCGUGAGAUCUUGGUUAUGAUUGCCUCAAAUUAUAUUGCAUGCUCUAAAUAUUGGUAGAGGAUGCAUAAAGGUAAAUGCUUUGUUUUUUUUUUUAUUAUAAUUUACAGGUGUUAGUGUUCUUGAAGGGGAUAAACAGGGGACAGCCAGUGAGAUUAACCUCCUUAACUCCACUUUAAAAGCUAGCUUAGGGGAGGUUUACAAACCCAUAAAUAACCUAAGACUUCCCGUAGAACCAAUGUGGGAUGCAUUAUUUCCGACACAGACUCUUUUAGGCUGAAUGUUCAUCUGACCUCUCUCGAAGAAGAAGAAGUACGUCAAGGAAUUUUUGUACAUGGCCCACCGAACUCAUUCAGAGUGAGGCUCUAAUAUCAAAUGUUAUAAACAUAGCUAACUUCACCUCAAAAGUUAGCUUUUGCAACUCAUAUAUAUAAUACCCAAGCAUGUAGGGCCGAUAUUGGACGCAUCAGCUGGGAAAAAUCAUAUGACUCUGGUAUGUUAUAAUUUAUGGUUUUCUAGGUUUUAAAAGAGUUCUGCUCUUAAAUAUAUUAAUAAAAACUUAUUCCGUGCUGGGUUUCUUCCAUUUUUGGUUUGGCUGGUUUGAAUUUUUCCCUUUUUUCUUUGUCAAAUUAACCGCUCAUUGAGUCCUGAAGAAAAAUAUGGGUGAAAUAGGGGGUGAAAAUGUGCAAUAAUGGUCCAUUUGUAAUCUCAAUCAACAAGAAAGAUAAGAAAUUGAACCGAUGACACUGGAUUGUUGCUGUAAAUUGCCUGAAGGCAGAAACUCUUGUCAAUUAUAUGAUAAAAUAUGUCUCAUAACAGUGCCGAGCAAAUUUGGCUGCUGAAAAGUGUUGUAGAUUAGUUAUUUACUUGGAGUUGUUGUGAUCGAAAUGCACACACAUUAGAAGUAGAGAAUUUGAGGUCAGGCAUUGCAAAUUUCAUCUCAAAUACUAGAUUAACACAGUAGCUGGACGUGGCACUGCAUAGUUUGACUAGUUUAUAUAGGGUUCACUGUUUAGAGAAGGUUAUUCAUGGAGUUAGGUACUUUUUAUGAAUAUUGACGCAAAACUUUGUUCUUCUUUAGCUUUCCUCAUAAGAAGGAAGGAAGAAAAAGUACAGAAUAGAAAACAGGAUGAACAAGGAACCAUAAUUGUCACUAUGCAUCCAUGCCUAUUUGGUAGAAGUUCACUCCAGGUUGAGUUUUUAUUGUAUACAAAUGUAUUAGCCUGUAUGCCUGUAGAAUGAACUGAGAUUUUGGAAAUGAACUGCAACUUUUAAUCAUGAUUCAAGCUGCAAAUUUUACUUUCUAUAUGCUUGGUAAUUGGAUGAUGAGUAUAUGAAAGGAGGAAGUGCAUAGAGUGGUGCUCUCUUUUAGCUUCCUCUGCUUCAUGUUGACAAUUAUCUGGAUAACAAUAUUUAAGAAAUAGUAGAAGAAAUGGGCAAAAUAUAGAAAUUCAAAAGAAAGAUGUAGCCAUAGCUCUUAAAAAAUAUUUAUCUGAAAUAAGUAUUAUGCUUAGAAUCUUGAAUUGAAUAUGGAAAUUGUUUUAGCACUUACGAAUCCAAUUAAUAUCUAAUUUUUCAACUUUUAAUGAAGCUGCAUUCAAAGUUCAACUGCAAAUGCAACUUGCUGGCCAGAAAGGUCCUUUGACUGGAAUGGUGUCAAUGUCAUAAGCUUUUAGUAUUACUUUAUAAUGAUCAUUUAGUUUAUUAAAUUCUGUUUAAUGAAGUAUCAUUAUACAAUAUAGGGGGAUGUUUAUUUGUUCAACCAUUUAAAAAUGAAUGGCCAAAAGCCUUUGUAUCUGUGAUUGACACCUGCAUUAACAAGAUCAGUUCUUUAUGGAGGUCUCUGUUGAAGGCUGUAUGAACCCUCGAAGAAUGCCUGUAAUUUGGCUUUGGGGUCCACCAAUUUCUUUAUUCAUCUCUAAAAUUCUUUUUUUUUUUUUUUUUGUCUUUGUUCAUCCUUUUAGAGUUUUAACUCUUAAAUUUUUGCCAGAUGCUUUGCAUUUUUCGCAAGAUUGGGUCAACAAUCACAUCUAUAGUGGAUUGAAUGCCAUCUAGCAGCGGAAUUGUCCAUUUAUAUUCACUCACAGAUUUUGUUUUGAAAUGUCAAAGAGCUGCCCUUGUUGCCAGUAAGUCCAGGCUUCAUCAACUGCCCUGGAAGGAGUCCAUUUAUUUCAUUGACUUGUGGCAACCUUCGCCUUUUUCUUCAGCAGCAAUGGUUGUGGUGAUUUUUCCUUUGAUUAUGCCUCUCUUGCUUUGCUUAAGAUUAAAUUAUGGUUGAGAAAUGAGACAUCCAGAUUCCUGAGGAACCGCAUCCCAUUUCUGGGUUUGACCUAGAUCGUUUGGAAACCUGUUACAAGCAACCUGAAAUUGGAACCCACCCAGACUUAUUGGUAUGGGUUUGACCGAGGCUCCAUUUAUUAAAAUUUUAGGUUCUCUUUAUGUCCUGCUCAUGAUUGAUUUGACGUGGUUAUACUUAUAUUCUGCUCUAUCUUAGACUAUGGUUGUGUCUUUAUUAAGUCACAGCUGUUUUGAACCGACAAAAAAAAAAAUGGGUUACCUACUCUGGUAAGCUUUUCAAAAUUGGUUUCAAUUAUGAACCAUGAACACCAUGGGGUAGAACAAGGAAUCCAUCCUCUCUAGCUGAUUGUUUUUCGAAGGCAAGAAGUGGUCAAGCAGUCUGAUCAAUAGACUCUGAAACACAAUAGAAGCCAUACCAAUCCACUUGUAGUCCCAGAAGGGUAGAGGAGACAAACUCAAGGGCCCCAUUUAAAUGGCUUUGCUGUCAGCCGAUCAACAAAUUAAAUGCACCAGAUAGAUAGCCCUUUUUGGUCGUUAGGCACUCUGCUGUGAAAAUUUAGUUUCAUGAAUUUGGGUGGAGCAAGAACCCGAAUGGUAUAUUUUGCUUCACUUCAUUGUACAAAUUUUUUUUGUGGAUGUUCACCCCAGAAUUGGAAAGAAUAAUUCUGUCUUUCCUUGAGGAGUUUAAAGGCACAAAGAAAGAAUUAUUAUUUAGUGAAUAAGUAGCUCAUCUUCAAAGA
Hevea brasiliensis (rubber tree) is the source of this 3494-nucleotide long non-coding RNA. RefSeq lists it as uncharacterized. The transcript has 3 exons. NCBI's taxonomy places the organism in Eukaryota, Viridiplantae, Streptophyta, Magnoliopsida, Malpighiales, Euphorbiaceae. The record is from RefSeq and is a predicted model, not a curated record.